This 435-nucleotide ribosomal RNA is filed under the name Ameerega petersi (Peruvian poison frog). RNAcentral describes it as "partial 16S ribosomal RNA". It matches the Rfam family "Bacterial large subunit ribosomal RNA", at positions 1941 to 2529 of the family's 2925-position model. Lineage: Eukaryota; Metazoa; Chordata; Amphibia; Anura; Dendrobatidae. The record is from RNAcentral.
CCUAACCGUGCGAAGGUAGCGUAAUCACUUGUUCUUUAAAUGAGGACUAGUAUGAAUGGCCCCCACGAGGGCUGCACUGUCUCCUUUUUCCAAUCAAUGAAAAUAAUCUCCCCGUGAAGAAGCGGGGAUAACCCUAUAAGACGAGAAGACCCUAUGGAGCUUUAAACAACUGAAACAUUUGCUUCUCCCCUGACCUCUCCUGAGCUCUUUAUUUUACUUAAGCAUUUUUAUUUCUAGUUUUAGGUUGGGGUGACCGCGGAGCAAAACUAAACCUCCAUGAAGAAUGAAUAUUUUUAAGCCACAAACUACUUUUUUAAGCAUCAACAAAUUGACCUUCAUUGACCCAAUAUAUUGAUCAACGAACCAAGUUACCCUAGGGAUAACAGCGCAAUCUACUUCAAGAGCUCAUAUCGACAAGUAGGUUUACGACCUCGA